Molecule: transfer RNA, 73 nt
Filed under: Zingiber officinale
Lineage: Eukaryota; Viridiplantae; Streptophyta; Magnoliopsida; Zingiberales; Zingiberaceae
Rfam family: tRNA
About the family: Transfer RNA (tRNA) molecules are approximately 80 nucleotides in length. Their secondary structure includes four short double-helical elements and three loops (D, anti-codon, and T loops). Further hydrogen bonds mediate the characteristic L-shaped molecular structure. tRNAs have two regions of fundamental functional importance: the anti-codon, which is responsible for specific mRNA codon recognition, and the 3' end, to which the tRNAs corresponding amino acid is attached (by aminoacyl-tRNA synthetases). tRNAs cope with the degeneracy of the genetic code in two manners: having more than one tRNA (with a specific anti-codon) for a particular amino acid; and 'wobble' base-pairing, i.e. permitting non-standard base-pairing at the 3rd anti-codon position.
Source: Rfam by way of RNAcentral
GGGGGUUUAGCUCAUAUGUUAGAGCGUUCGCUUCGCAUGCGAGAGACACGGGGUUCGAUUCCUUGGACCUCCA